CGACCUCCGAGGCUUUCGAGGCAGUUUCCGGCCAAACUACGGCGAACUAGGUGUUGGGAAAGGUACCAUUCUCUUUGUCUCUUCAAGGGCUACAACUUUCGUUUUUGAAUCACUUGAUUUCGUUGAGAAAUGACAAAGUUAUGGUAAUUUGAAAAACUGCCCAGAAAACGGCCGCCGGAAAAACCAGUCCGGCGACCCAAGGAAGAAGAAGGUGCUACAGUAAAAAAUAAAAAUAAAAAUAAAAUUAUUUUAAAAAUAUGUCGACGUCCGUGACGUCGAGUAGAUCACCGUGGUAUAUUCAUAUACCCAAAUUGAACACCGUAUGAGAAAGUUAUUGAAGAUUGUUGGUUAGGUGUUCAAAUAACGUUUUAUAGUUUUCACAUUUAGGUGAAAAUGUGAAUUGAUGAUCCGACCGUUGGAUCGUCACCAAACUUUGAUACGUUGUAAUACGUAAUAUUUGAGGAUUAUUGGAACUUACGGAUUGGGAAUCCGAGUUACGGAUCUUCCGGAAUUGGAAUUGUAAGUCCAUAAUAUAAAAUGUUAACCGUCACUUAGUUUUGGAAAUUGACGGAGAUCCGACCGUUGGAUGGUAAUGAAAUUUUAGGAUGUUGUCCUAGAGGUAUAAUGUGGACCUCUGGAAGUUAUGGAUUUAAAAUCUGAGUGGCAGAUCUUCCGGAUCGAUCUACGUAGUGACGUAUUUUAUAUAAGUUAUAUAUUCUAUCGAUAUGAAUUCUGAGGUUGGAUUUGAUUACUGUUCUAGGCGGCGAUCGUCAUGACGCCUUGAUGUGUGGUGCUAGGGAGUUGUUGGACGAACUCCAGGUGAGUGGGCAGUUUUGUUUUCCGUAUACAUAUAUAAUUGACGUUUCCCAGAAAUUGAAAAUGUUACGAAAGUAUGCUUUAAAUGCAAAGUAUAAAAGUAUGUUUUCAAAUGCCAUGAGUAGAUUAUAUGAAAGAUAUGAUUUGAGAUAUAUUAGUUGAAAUACCAUGCUUAGAAGUAUGUGAAAAGUAUAUAGAAAUGUGAAUCGAAAUGCCAUGCAUGAAAUGAUAUGAAAAGUAUGAAUUGAGAUAUGAUGCAUAUGUAUGAAUUGGUGCUGUGGACGCACAGGUGAGUAUCAGGUGAGUAUAUUACUGCUAUGAUGAUGUUGAGAUAUAUUGAGCUCAUAACCUGCACCUUGGUAUUAGUGCUUAUUAUUAUUCACCGCAUCGCAUGCUCACCUUGGAUCCAAGUAGAUGCUAGUCGUACAGACCACCGGGGGUGGUUCCGACAUGCCAGUCGUACAGACCAUUAGAGGGGUUCCGACUGGUAGGUGACCUUAGAUUAUGUGCACAGAUGAUUGAUGAGAAAAGCACUAGAGCAUAUUAUUACACCAUUAAGUCGUACAGAUUACAUUAGGUAAUUCCGACUUAUGUGCAGUGUAGUGCCGUACAGGUCAUACUAGGUGACUCCGGCAUGGCCGAACAGGUCACAGUUGGUGACUCCGGUUAUAUGAGAUUUUGAGCUCUACAUUCAGCCGUACAGGACCAUUGUAGGGUCUCCGGUUGAUUUCUUUCUUGCACCUGAUAUGAUUAUUGCUGAUGCAUUCAUACUUAACUGUUGAAUUUAGACAUGGCAUGGCAUGAUUGAUAAAGAUAAAUGUUGAGAUAGUAAAAAUGAAGUUUUGAUAAUAUAUAUGUAUAUUUAUAUUUUACAUUUCUGGGAAAGUAUACAGGUUUUACGGAGAGGGGUUACAACGUUUUGAGAAAUGUUUGGAUUUGGAAAAGAAUUGUUUUACUGACCCACUCAAUUUUGGUUUUGCGCCCCUCCAGGUUCAUGAAUCACAAAGGUGUGGUGACUACGAGGAAUUCGACGGUGUUCUGACAGAUUGGACAAAAUUAGGACUCACUUUCGGGUGUAUCAACUUAGGAAUUGUAUCUUAAAGCUUCCGUACUGUGCAAAUGGUUACGUCACUCUCACGUGACGGCCAGCAUGCCCUCCUUCGGGACGGGGUGUGUCAGUUGGUAUCAGAGCAUGGUUGCAAUCUUGGACAUUUUGAGAAGUUCUAGUGAAUUCUGUCAGAACUACACCGCCUCGUAGCAAGCCACUUAGUUAGAGGAAUUUAGUCUCCCUAAUAUAACGGUUUAGGGGAAACUAUUAUUAUGGUGAUUCAGUCUAUUAUAAAAAGGGACAUUUUAAGAUGGGUUAUGAGUUGAAUUUGAAUCACUUAAGAGAAAUGAUGAACCUGAGGGAGCGAAGUAACGGUUUAACCAUUUGGAAAAGAUGUUUCGGAUUAUGCAAGUCAAAGGAAUCUUCCUUCUGACAAGGGGUCGAGAUGACUACCUGGUUUGAGUUAUGAACGUGUAUCCUGAUGGAAGCAGGAGUAUUAAUUGUUGUCAUCGGAGGAACAGCCGAUUUAAAAUUGUUUAAGGACUUGUUUAAGGAAAAGUUUAUCCCUCCGGCAUUUAUCGAUGGUAGUAAACAAGAGUUUACAAAUAUGAGACAAGGAAGGUGAUGAUCGAGGGAUAUUAUAGAAAGUUUUCAGACUUGCCUUGUUCCAUCCAGAUAUUGUUGUUAUUGGUGGAGGUGUUAUGUUGUUUUAAGCUGGGUGGCAAAAAGGGAAGUGGUAUUUUGGGUGACCACUAUCCAUUGUAGUUCUUAUCAGGAGUAUGCUAGAUGUUGUUGAGUCUUGAGGACUCUGAGAACAUGAGCAACGAGAAUAAAGAAGAAUAAGAAAUGAAUGGGAAUUUAAAGAAGACGAUAAAGUUAAUGAUUCGUCAUAUCAAGGAGAUAGAAAGAUUCAGAGCUUCGAAAGAAGUGAAGCUAGAGUUAAUUCUUCCAGCUGAGGUUUUAAUGUCGCUGGUCAGAGUAAAAGUGAUGGAUAUACUGGUAAUCCCAGAUAUUUGAGACAAGGUGUCUCGAGUAAAGGAAAUGUACUUUGUGCAGCAGGUACAAAAUUAACACUUUGGGAAAUGUGAAAUUAAUGAAUGUGUUUAUGUAAACAGAGGGGACACAUAAUUGUGAAUCGUCCCUAAAAUCAGUUGUACUCAACAAUUUUCCAUGAUAUCAUAGUGUCAAUUCAGCAGAGUUAUGGACUUAGUAGUUUGGUUGGAUUGACCAUGAGUACCGAGAGAUUUGAUGAGUUAUAUGUUCAGCCGUACAGGCCAAAAGAGGUGGAUCCGGCUGACACAUGAGAAAUUGGUGAGUUAUAGGCUCGGCUGUACGGACCACAAGAUGUGGAUCCGGCCGACGUAUUUACUGGGGAAUUGAUGUGUAAGUCGUACAGGUCACUAUAAGUGACUCCGACUAAUGUGCUAGCAUAGAUGGUUGAGCUGGAGAAUCAGCCGUACAGGUCAUUCUAGUUGACUCCGGCUGAUAUAUUUCUGAGUAUGGACAAUGAUGCCAAAGAAAGUAAUGUUGGAACGUGAUAGAGGCGUAUAUGUGUAUUCUAAUGAAAAAAAAAAAUGAUAGUAUUACACCUUUGGGAAUUGUUGCUUACUUAUCGAGACAACGAUGAUUUAUCAGUAUUGCGGGCUGCAGACCGUAAUAUUAAUAACUCAUUCGUGGAUUCGUUAAGCAAGCAAACCGGUAUUUUAUUUUAUGUUAGUGUUGUACUUAUUUAGAAUGUUCAGUAAUAAUAAAGUAUGUAUUGGGUCAGUUAAUUUUAUUCCAUUAGAUUGAUUAUUUAUAGUUGUGACUAGAUGGAAUAUUACGGGAAACCAGUUACUUUCCAUCGAUCUGGAUGACCAGAGAUUACUUUUGUAAGUAUGCAAAAUGGAUUGAGUCAGGCCGUUAUUUAUGCUGUGAGAGCAAAGAGAUUGUUUUCGAAAGGCUGUCAAAAAUACUUAGCUCAUGUGGUGCUAAAUGAUGUUGUUUGGAGUAGUGUGAAUAAUGUCGAAAGAGUUAGACUUUUCUUGAUGUCUUCUCUGAAAGUAUACCUGGAUUGUCUUCAGGCAGAGAUAUGAGGUUCAUUAUUGAUUUGUUGCCAGGUAUAAAUUUAUGUUAAAGAUUGGUUCAUGAUGAGUUAAGGGAAUUGGAAAUUCAGUUGAGAGAAUUGGUUGAUAAAAGUUUUAUUCAACCUAGUACAACACUGUUGAGGAGCACCAGUUUGUUGGUGAGAAAGGAAAUGGACUUAGAGAUUGUUCAUUGAUUAUAGAUAAUGGAAUCGGGUAACGAAUGAGAACCGUUAUCCAUUGUGGUGUAUUGACGCUCAUUUGAUCAGUUCAAAGGUGCUUGUAUAUUUUCAAAGAUUGACUUGAAUACUGUUUAUUAUCAAUUGAAGAUUAUGAGUUAUUGGAUGAAGUAUUCCAAUAAUGCCUUGAUAAAUAGAUAUCAUUUUCAUUGAAGAUAUUCUGGCAUAUUCUGAGCCAGAGCAGAACAUGUAAACGUAUUAAGUCGGUGGAACAAAGAUUGGAAGAAUGUCGGUUGUAUGCUAAGUAGCAAAUGCUAAAGUUAGAUGAAUCAUGUGGCAUUCUGAGAAUUGUUAUAUAUUCUUAAGGUAUUCAAGUGAAUCCUUAAAAGAUAGCAGAAAUUGAGAAAUUGGAACAACCACAAGCCAUAAUUGAGAUUCGGAAAUUCUUAACUUAUCAGGCUAUUUUGGAUGGUUGUGAAAGAAUUUUUAGUCAUUGUUUUGUCAUUGAUGAGACUGUUGAGAAAGGAGGUUAUGUAUGAGUGGGAAGGAAAUUGUGAGCAAAGGAUUCAACAACUGAAGUAUUUCCUCACUCAUGCACGUAUUUUAGUAAUCCCAAAGAAUAAUGGUAAUCAUAAAUUUUUAGUGAUGUUUCUUGAAUGGUAUUGGAUGCAUGUUGAUGCAAAUGUUAGGGUGAUUGCAUACGUUUCACGACAAAUGGAAUCUCAUGAGAUGAAUUACCCUACUGGUGAUUUGGAAGUCACGAUUACCAUCCUUGCUGUGAAGUUAUGGAGACAUUCUAUGUUGAUAAGAAUGCAAGAUUUUACAAAUCAAAAGAGUCUCCAAUAUUUGUUUACUUGGAAGGAUUUUGAUAGGAGGCAGCGAAUGUGAAUUGUAUUGCUUAAUGAACAUGAUUGUACGAUCAGGGUGAUCGUAAAGUUUGUUCUAACUGAAGCACUUGGUGAGAAGACUACAAUAAGAUUAAUGUCUGGCACGUUUGCCAAGAGUAUCAUCUUGUGGAUUGAAACCAACGGAAGAAAAAUUAAGAAUGGAAGAUCGAGAAGAAGUUAUACUUGUUAAAUUUCAAGUUAGGCCUGUUUGGUAAGGUCGUACUUGAAACUUAAAUGCUUGACGAAGAAAUUUAAGAAUUAACCAAGGUAGAGAAAGAAGGUAAGUUAAAUCCUAAGUUAAUCGGACUUAAGUGAUUAUCGAAAAGUUGGUGAAGUUGCUUACAAGCUUGUGAUGCCCUCAGAAUUGGUUAAGGUGCAAAACAUAUUUUAUGAUUCGAUGCGUUGUCACUAGGUGGCAGAUUCGUCACAUAAGAUUCUGGUGUAACUAUUGAGAAUUAAAUUGGAUUCGACUUGAUAAGGAACCAAGGACGACUUUGGAUUGGAAAAAGAAGGUCCUGAGAAAUUAAGACAGAGUAAGUAGUAGUAAAAGCUUUGUGAAGGAAAUCAUUCAGUAGAAAAGUAUGUGGGAGAAAGAGAAUCGGAUGAGAAAGAUUUACCCGAAGCUAUUGUUGGAGUAUGGUUUGAUUUUAGUUGGUUGCUGGAAUUUCGGGGACGAAAUUCUAUAAGGAGGGAAGAUUGUCACAGCCCGUCCCGGAAUUUUAAUUCCGAGGACAUGAAAAGACGAAAAUGCCCUUAAACGGGACUAAGGGGCGAAAAUUUAACAAUUUGGAUUGAGUUGGACACGUGGGAUCCCCACACCCCUCAAUCCUCUCCCUAUUUUCUGCAUACUGUCUCUCUCUCCUCCCUCACGAAUCUCUCUCUCUCUGUCACUCUUCUUCUCCGUUCGAACAAACCAACCACAAAACAACCUUAAACUUCCACCAACGACGGAGUUAAGACUACCAUCGAACUCCUGGAGACUCCACGAUCACGUAGACACCAAUUUCAGGUAAGUUUUACUUCGGAAAACCUAGAUUCUAAACUCCCCGUGAAAGUGCACUGUUCAUGAUCUUCGAAUUGACUUUGUUUUAGGACAAUCCAAGCUCACAGUGAGCUUAGUGAGGUUCCAAGGAAGCUCGGAGUGCUUCGUUGGAAGUUUUUGGACGUAAGAACACGGAGAUCGAUAAGUUCAAAGUUUGGCCGGAGCUUUCGAGGCAUUUUCCGGCGAAUCCCCGGCGAGUUAGGCGUCGAGGUAGGUAUCAAUCUCUUUCGUCUCGUCAAGUACUACAAACUUUCCUUUUUGUUUCACUCAAUUUCGUUGAGUAUUGAAGAAGUUAUACUCAUUUGAAAAAUACCCAGUUUCCGGCGACCUCCGAGGCUUUCGAGGCAGUUUCCGGCCAAACUACGGCGAACUAGGUGUUGGGAAAGGUACCAUUCUCUUUGUCUCUUCAAGGGCUACAACUUUCGUUUUUGAAUCACUUGAUUUCGUUGAGAAAUGACAAAGUUAUGGUAAUUUGAAAAACUGCCCAGAAAACGGCCGCCGGAAAAACCAGUCCGGCGACCCAAGGAAGAAGAAGGUGCUACAGUAAAAAAAUAAAUAAAAAUAAAAUUAUUUUAAAAAUAUGUCGACGUCCGUGACGUCGAGUAGAUCACCGUGGUAUAUUCAUAUACCCAAAUUGAACACCGUAUGAGAAAGUUAUUGAAGAUUGUUGGUUAGGUGUUCAAAUAACGUUUUUAUAGUUUUCACAUUUAGGUGAAAAUGUGAAUUGAUGAUCCGACCGUUGGAUCGUCACCAAACUUUGAUACGUUGUAAUACGUAAUAUUUGAGGAUUAUUGGAACUUACGGAUUGGGAAUCCGAGUUACGGAUCUUCCGGAAUUGGAAUUUGUAAGUCCAUAAUAUAAAAUGUUAACCGUCACUUAGUUUUGGAAAUUGACGGAGAUCCGACCGUUGGAUGGUAAUGAAAUUUUAGGAUGUUGUCCUAGAGGUAUAAUGUGGACCUCUGGAAGUUAUGGAUUUAAAAUCUGAGUGGCAGAUCUUCCGGAUCGAUCUACGUAGUGACGUAUUUUAUAUAAGUUAUAUAUUCUAUCGAUAUGAAUUCUGAGGUUGGAUUUGAUUACUGUUCUAGGCGGCGAUCGUCAUGACGCCUUGAUGUGUGGUGCUAGGGAGUUGUUGGACGAACUCCAGGUGAGUGGGCAGUUUUGUUUUCCGUAUAUACAUAUAUAAUUGACGUUUCCCAGAAAUUGAAAAUGUUACGAAAGUAUGCUUUAAAUGCAAAGUAUAAAAAAGUAUGUUUUCAAAUGCCAUGAGUAGAUUAUAUGAAAGAUAUGAUUUGAGAUAUAUUAGUUGAAAUACCAUGCUUAGAAGUAUGUGAAAAGUAUAUAGAAAUGUGAAUCGAAAUGCCAUGCAUGAAAUGAUAUGAAAAGUAUGAAUUGAGAUAUGAUGCAUAUGUAUGAAUUGGUGCUGUGGACGCACAGGUGAGUAUCAGGUGAGUAUAUUACUGCUAUGAUGAUGUUGAGAGAUAUAUUGAGCUCAUAACCUGCACCUUGGUAUUAGUGCUUAUUAUUAUUCACCGCAUCGCAUGCUCACCUUGGAUCCAAGUAGAUGCUAGUCGUACAGACCACCGGGGGUGGUUCCGACAUGCCAGUCGUACAGACCAUUAGAGGGGUUCCGACUGGUAGGUGACCUUAGAUUAUGUGCACAGAUGAUUGAUGAGAAAAAGCACUAGAGCAUAUUAUUACACCAUUAAGUCGUACAGAUUACAUUAGGUAAUUCCGACUUAUGUGCAGUGUAGUGCCGUACAGGUCAUACUAGGUGACUCCGGCAUGGCCGAACAGGUCACAGUUGGUGACUCCGGUUAUAUGAGAUUUUGAGCUCUACAUUCAGCCGUACAGGACCAUUGUAGGGUCUCCGGUUGAUUUCUUUCUUGCACCUGAUAUGAUUAUUGCUGAUGCAUUCAUACUUAACUGUUGAAUUUAGACAUGGCAUGGCAUGAUUGAUAAAGAUAAAUGUUGAGAUAGUAAAAAUGAAGUUUUGAUAAUAUAUAUGUAUAUUUAUAUUUUACAUUUCUGGGAAAGUAUACAGGUUUUACGGAGAGGGGUUACAACGUUUUGAGAAAUGUUUGGAUUUGGAAAAGAAUUGUUUUACUGACCCACUCAAUUUUGGUUUUGCGCCCCUCCAGGUUCAUGAAUCACAAAGGUGUGGUGACUACGAGGAAUUCGACGGUGUUCUGACAGAUUGGACAAAAUUAGGACUCACUUUCGGGUGUAUCAACUUAGGAAUUGUAUCUUAAAGCUUCCGUACUGUGCAAAUGGUUACGUCACUCUCACGUGACGGCCAGCAUGCCCUCCUUCGGGACGGGGUGUGUCACAAAUAAUUCAAAACCUGUCUCUAACUCUCUGAUCCAAUGAUCCAAAUAAUUAAGUAAUGUUAACAAUUACAUGUUAAUUUUUUUUAAGUAAUUAAGUAAUGUUAACAAUCACCAUGUUUUAUAUUAGGAUUAUUUUAUUAUCAAAUUGGAUUAUUCAUUAAAUUGGAUUAUUAUCAAAUUUGAUUAUUAUUCAUCACCAUGUUUUAUAUUAGGAUUAUUUUUUUAUGAAAUUGGAUUAUUAUUCAUUAAAUUAGAUUAUUAUUCAUUAAAUUGGAUUAUUAUCAAAUUGGAUUAUUAUUCAUCACCAUGUUUUAUAUUAGGAUUAUUUUUUUAUGAAAUUGGAUUAUUCAUUAAAUUGGAUUAUUAUCAAAUUGGAUUAUUAUUCAUCACCAUGUUUUAUAUUAGGAUUAUUGUACUAAUUCAUUAUAUAUAAAUUAUUAUGAUGUGUUUAGACUUCUUUCAUUAAUUACUACAUAUUUUCUACAUUCACAAUGUUUGUCAGCUAGCUAUAUAAUCAACUUGAUAAUGCUAAAUCCAUCAUGCAAUGCAUUUCUUUCCAAUUUUUUGUGAUAAACUAAUAGAUAAUUGACUAAAU
RNAcentral lists this long non-coding RNA (8957 nucleotides) under Malus domestica (apple). RNAcentral describes it as "long non-coding RNA (MDOM_LNC008953)". The record is from RNAcentral. Lineage: Eukaryota; Viridiplantae; Streptophyta; Magnoliopsida; Rosales; Rosaceae.